Molecule: ribosomal RNA, 555 nt
Filed under: uncultured bacterium
Lineage: Bacteria
Description: bacterial SSU rRNA
Rfam family: Bacterial small subunit ribosomal RNA
Source: RNAcentral
AGUCUGGUGCCAGCAGCCGCGGUAAUACGGGGGAUGCAAGCGUUAUCCGGAAUCAUUGGGCGUAAAGCGCCUGUAGGUUGUUUAAUAAGUCCGUUGUUAAAGCCUAGGUCUUAACCCUAGAAAAGCAAUGGAAACUAUUAGACUAGAGUAUGGUAGGGGUAGAGGGAAUUUCUAGUGUAGCGGUGAAAUGCGUAGAUAUUAGAAAGAACACCGGUGGCGAAAGCGCUCUACUGGACCAUUACUGACACUCAGAGGCGAAAGCUAGGGUAGCAAAAGGGAUUAGAUACCCCUGUAGUCCUAGCCGUAAACGAUGGAUACUAGAUGUUGUGCAUUAAGGACAGUAUCGUAGCUAACGCGUUAAGUAUCCCGCCUGGGGAGUACGCUCGCAAGGGUGAAACUCAAAGGAAUUGACGGGGGCCCGCACAAGCGGUGGAGCAUGUGGUUUAAUUCGAUGCAACGCGAAGAACCUUACCAGGGCUUGACAUACUACGAAUCUUUUUGAGAAAAAAGAGUGCCUUCGGGAAUGUAGAUACAGGUGGUGCAUGGCCGUUCUUA